RNAcentral lists this ribosomal RNA (253 nucleotides) under uncultured bacterium. RNAcentral describes it as "partial 16S ribosomal RNA". It matches the Rfam family "Bacterial small subunit ribosomal RNA", at positions 524 to 776 of the family's 1533-position model. The record is from RNAcentral.
UACGUAGGGUGCGAGCGUUAAUCGGAAUUACUGGGCGUAAAGCGUGCGCAGGCGGUUAUAUAAGACAGAUGUGAAAUCCCCGGGCUCAACCUGGGACCUGCAUUUGUGACUGUAUGGCUAGAGUGCGGCAGAGGGGGAUGGAAUUCCGCGUGUAGCAGUGAAAUGCGUAGAUAUGCGGAGGAACACCGAUGGCGAAGGCAAUCCCCUGGGCCUGCACUGACGCUCAUGCACGAAAGCGUGGGGAGCAAACAGG